GAGGGUAUAGCUCAGUGGUGGAGUGUGCGCUUACCAUCCACAAGGUCCUAGGUUCAAUCUCCAGUACCUCCA
Transfer RNA from Camelus ferus (Wild Bactrian camel), 72 nucleotides. It matches the Rfam family "tRNA". From Rfam's summary of the family: Transfer RNA (tRNA) molecules are approximately 80 nucleotides in length. Their secondary structure includes four short double-helical elements and three loops (D, anti-codon, and T loops). Further hydrogen bonds mediate the characteristic L-shaped molecular structure. tRNAs have two regions of fundamental functional importance: the anti-codon, which is responsible for specific mRNA codon recognition, and the 3' end, to which the tRNAs corresponding amino acid is attached (by aminoacyl-tRNA synthetases). tRNAs cope with the degeneracy of the genetic code in two manners: having more than one tRNA (with a specific anti-codon) for a particular amino acid; and 'wobble' base-pairing, i.e. permitting non-standard base-pairing at the 3rd anti-codon position. The record is from Rfam. Lineage: Eukaryota; Metazoa; Chordata; Mammalia; Artiodactyla; Camelidae.